This 309-nucleotide long non-coding RNA is filed under the name Elaeis guineensis (African oil palm). RNAcentral's name for it is "long non-coding RNA (EGUI_LNC071623)". The record is from RNAcentral. Lineage: Eukaryota; Viridiplantae; Streptophyta; Magnoliopsida; Arecales; Arecaceae.
GGUGAUUACCUAAUCCGAGUACUUUGCUACUCAGAACAUCUAAUCUAAUUUACAUAUCAUAUAUGCAAAAAAUUUAGAUCAAAUCUAAAUUAUAUUAGAUCUGAUUUUAUGUUUGAUCAUAUCUAAAAUUAGAUCAUAAUACAUCUCAUAUAUUGCUAAAUCUAGAUUUUAACUUUACAUGCAUAUAUGUUUAUGUCAUAAUGAACCUUCGCUCUGAUAUCAUUUAAAGGGAAGCAUGGUAGGUGAUGUGCAUGUAAUUUUAAAAUUUUAUAAUGAAACAUACAUAGAUUAAAUAAUUUAAUCUAUAAU